CGGUACGCGUAACACGUGAGCAACCUACCUUCGAGUUCGGGAUAGCCCUGGGAAACCAGGAUUAAUACCGGAUGUGGUCACGACGGGACAUCCCGACGUGAAAAAAGGCGCAAGCCGCUCGAUGACGGGCUCGCGGCCCAUUAGCUUGUUGGUGGGGUAACGGCCUACCAAGGCGAUGAUGGGUAGCUGGUCUGAGAGGACGAUCAGCCACACUGGGACUGAGACACGGCCCAG
RNAcentral lists this ribosomal RNA (234 nucleotides) under uncultured bacterium. RNAcentral describes it as "partial 16S ribosomal RNA". It matches the Rfam family "Bacterial small subunit ribosomal RNA", at positions 105 to 334 of the family's 1533-position model. The record is from RNAcentral.